CCGGCGCACGGGUGAGUAACGCGUAUGCAACCUGUCCGUUACAGGGGGAUAGCCCAUGGAAACGUGGAUUAACACUCCAUAAUAUAAUAUAGAGGCAUCUUUGUAUUAUUAAAUAUUCAUAGGUAACGGUUGGGCAUGCGUCCUAUUAGAUAGUUGGGGGGGUAACGGCCCACCAAGUCGAUGAUAGGUAGGGGUUCUGAGAGGAAGGUCCCCCACACUGGUACUGAGACACGGACCAGACUCCUACGGGAGGCAGCAGUGAGGAAUAUUGGUCAAUGGGCGAGAGCCUGAACCAGCCAAGUCGCGUGAGGGAUGACUGCCCUAUGGGUUGUAAACCUCUUUUGUAUGGGGGGAAUAAGCUUUACGAGUAGAGUGAUGACAGUACCAUACGAAUAAGCAUCGGCUAACUCCGUGCCAGCAGCCGCGGUAAUACGGAGGAUGCGAGCGUUAUCCGGAUUUAUUGGGUUUAAAGGGUGCGUAGGCGGCAUUAUAAGUUAGUGGUAAAAUAUUGGGGCUUCACCUCACUACGCCAUUAAUACUGUAGAGCUAGAGAACAGACGAGGUAGGCGGAAUAAGUUAAGUAGCGGUGAAAUGCAUAGAUAUAACUUAGAACACCGAUAGCGAAGGCAGCUUACCAGACUGAGUCUGACGCUGAUGCACGAGAGCAUGGGUAGCGAACAGGAUUAGAUACCCUGGUAGU
Molecule: ribosomal RNA, 700 nt
Filed under: uncultured bacterium
Lineage: Bacteria
Description: bacterial SSU rRNA
Rfam family: Bacterial small subunit ribosomal RNA
Source: RNAcentral